CUUUUAUAAAAAAAAAAAAAAAAUGUCAGACAUCGACUUUUGUAAAUAAAUUGUAAAAGAAAUAAAUGCUUUUCUGUGUCAUUAUUCUUUUUAGAAUAAACACUAUGGGUCAAUUGUUUAAACAAAUUCUAAACUCCAACCAUGGCUUAAAACUCUUUUCCAUAUUUAUUAUCUCAUUCAAAACAAGAUUUAGACUGCAGCCUAGAACUAAAACUCAUUCAAAAAACCAACCCUAUCUUACUUACAUGAAAGCUAGCUUGUUUUUUCUUCUCAGUCAUACCACUGAUAGUUGCAUCAAAGUGACCCCCCUCUGAUGAUAAACUAUAGGUAUUGGCAUCUGGCUUGGCACUGAAGUGUGUGAAAGUAUUAUGCAUCUGGACUACUAUCAAUUUACUAAUAGGAAGGAUAGGUUUCAUCCUGAAAGGAAUGAGCUUGUGUCUAAAUAUCAUGUUGGAUUUUUUCGAUAUGCUACAGUAUUACAAGAAGCUUGGCACAAUAAUAUUUCUAUCUAUGCCAAGCACAAUGCCGAUACCUAUAAUUCUUCAGGUCUUGCCUAAAUUGUUACAUUUAAUACUGAUGUAUAUUUUUAGGAAGUAUUUUAUCUCCAUAUUUGUAAAUUUAAGAGAAAUAGAGAAUAUGCUUAUA
RNAcentral lists this long non-coding RNA (645 nucleotides) under Androctonus crassicauda. Lineage: Eukaryota; Metazoa; Arthropoda; Arachnida; Scorpiones; Buthidae. The record is from RNAcentral.